UGGGCAACUUUUUAUGUAAAAAUGGCGGUAAUAUUUUGCACAUCCCGCCACUUACAAAUUUUUUUUUUCAUUUCUGAGAUUGAGAAUCCCGAGACACCCAUCUCCUUCUCUUCCCCAUUUUUGAGACCUGAGACACCCAUUUCUGCCCAUUUCCUUCAACAUAUCGAUACAUCACACAAAUUUCUGAGCUUUCCUUCAACAUAUCUGCCCAUUUCCUUCAACAUAUCGACACAAAGAAGAGACCCAUUUCUUCGGCUUGGUCGUAGGUCUCCGAACUCCUCAUCAGCUCUCAUUGAGCCCUAAGAUACCCGAAACCAAACCAGAGCCGUCGCCCCCUCCGCCUCUCUCUCUAUCACGCACUUCGAACUCAACUUUCUCCUCCUCACGCCCUAAGGCCUUCUGUUGAGCUACUGAACCACACCAUAACCUUGCAAUCGUCGUCGUUGUUGUUCUCCCUCUCUGUAUCUAUUAUGCCGGCUAGAAGAAAGAACCCAGGCAAGGGCACUCUUCCUUUCGCGCCAGAACAGGAAAGGCCUUGGCUCUGAAUCAAGAAGAUGCUGAUUCCAAAGUGGUUAUCAAGUAAGUAUAUGGGUAGCUAUUCUUUUAUUGGUAGUAUUUUUUUUUCACCAUUGAUUGUUUUUAUACUUGGGUAGCUAGUAUGAAUGGAAUCUAUUUAUAUAUAUAUAUAUGUAUGUAUAUAAAUGAGGUUUUAUUUUUUCAAAUAUAUUUUUUUAUUGCUCUAAAUUUUUGCUGAAUUUCUGUAAAUUUUUGUUUUUCCCUUCUGAUUAUCCCAGUCCAGUCCACCUUCUCCAGAGUCAUUAAUAUGUAACUAUUGGUAAAUGCUCUACAGGUGUUCGAUUAAAUAAUUCUAAGAAAAUAUAGAAUCUACAAUGCUUUGUUUUAUUCUUUAUAAGCCUUAAAAUCUUCCAGAUUGUUUUGAUAACCAAAGAAUCAACUUGUUUCUUAAAUUGAAUUUAUUGUUUCUACACCUUAUAGAAUCUAUUUUGGUAGCUAGGUUGUACUACUCUAGACCAAUUAUAUGCGGGAACAACAAUCAGACCUCUAUUCAUGAUAUUCCUUUUAUUAUUCAUCCUCAUUAUUGUUUACAAGGUUUAUCUUCAAUUCCCAUUUAUCUUAUCAUAUAUUUUUUUAAAAAGAAAAAUUAAAUUAGUACUUGCAUCAUGGAAUCAUUUUCUUAAGCUUUGCUAAAUUUGAUCUCUAAGCUUGGCAUGAUGAGCAUUAGCAAAUGAAAAGUUCCAAUAACUCUUAUUGAUCUUGAUUUUGUUAACACUUUUUUAGAGUUAUCAGAAAGUUUUUUUUUUUUGAAGUAUACAAUCACAGGUGAAAAUAAUUAGAGGCGCAAUCUCAGUAGAAUGUAAGAAUGAGCAAUAUGAAUGUAUGCUACUUCAUGGAAACUUGGAGUAAACUUAUUACUUUUUAUUUCUAUUUUCAUUUUGCUCUUUAUUUUUAUUAUAGUUAUUGGUUCGGUGCCUUGGCUCACAAACAGAUGAACUCUAUGUUGUGGUAGUUUUUACUUCAGUUGUUUUUCAGGUAGUCUAGAUUAAAGGUGCUUUGUUAAUAAGCCUUCUCAGUUUUUUCCAGGUAGUCAGGUUUAGGUCAUCUGGUUUUCUAGUUUUUUCCAGCUUGGUUUCAGUUUAUUGUCUUGCCAGUUUUCUAGUAUUUUAGCGGUUUUAGGUUCAGGCAAGACUUGGUGUACUUGUCAUCACCUUUCAGUUCACAAGGCUACAAUCUUGGAUUUGAUACGGUAAGAGCUCUGUUUUAGUUUAAUGGGAUUGUUGUUACUGGGAAAAUGCAUCAAUUAAAGGCAAUGAUAAAAUUAAGGCAUGGGUUUAUCUUUUUUCUUCAUAAUUUGAAAUUAGAAAGCUUUUAUGUUAAUUACUCUGCUGUUAGAGAUCACAUGUUGCUAGAGUUUCUUGACCAAAAUUUAUUGUUCGAGACUGUUUUAUAAAAUAGAUUCAAAGAACUUCUAUUCUUGUUUUGAUGCAUUUAUAACAAAUGAAUACUUUGUUCCGUGGCUAUGUAUUGCAAUUGAAAUUUUUCUCAGUUUUUUGUUUUGUAUGCAAAUGUUGAUGAUUAUUUAUUUUAUUAAUACUUUAAUGGUAUUCUCUCUAGUAUUCUCAUAUUGUAAAACCUGUAAAAAAAAUUUCAAUUCUAUUCUCAUAAUUAUAAAUAUACAAACUUAAGGAUAUUAAUUGGCAUUUACAAUAUAUAUAUAUAUAUAUAUAUAUAUGAGUCACCACUUUUAUUGCCAACCAACAAGAUGAUUUGCUUCUGCGAAUAACUUUUUUUUUUUAACGAUCUGCUAAGAUAAAUUAUGAGCAAUUUGCAACAGGUAUUUAAUGUUUGGCUCUUACUAUUAUUGCUAUUAUUAUUAAUAUUUUCUUUAAAAAUGUUUUUAAGUAGAACUCAAAUUAAGAAAAUAUGAUAUUUGUGAUCUUUCUCUUUCUGCAUUCUUUAGUUUAAUAUGUUAGCCUUCCAAUAUAUGGAUAUGGUGAUAGUUGGUGCUCCAUUUCUAGAGACAUGGAGAGUUGUUUGUUAUUAGUAUUAAAAUUGUUUAUUUAGUUGUGUAUUUGGCCUCGUUCUUUUGUCAGAGCAAGCGCUUUCGACUAUUACAAGGUACUAAUUCUUUUCUUCAUUAAUAAUUUUAUAUAUUUCAUUUUACAGUUCCCAAAGUUUGUAUUUGUCAACUUGGUCAAUUUUGUAAGGACGUAGAAUCUACAUUGUAGAUUGUAUAAUAUUUUUAUGUUAUAUAUGUUUGGAAUCUGAUCACUCCUCUCUCAUUAAGUUAGUUUCAUGGGCUUGUACACAUAUGACUUAAAUAGUUUAAUAUCUUCUUGUAAAAGGAUAUUGGAAAUGCUAGUUGUAGUUUGUGAUAAUAGUUAAGAUUUUUUUUAUUCACACAGGCAAGGUUCAGGCAGUGCUUGUCGAAGCUUAUAUGGUGGAUUUGUGAAGUUGAUGAUCAUGGGAAAAGAAGAGAAUGGAAGUGACAGUGUUGCAGUUCAGCUAGCAGAUGAGAAACAUUGGGAUGAUCUAGUCAUAAUCGUUGCAUUGGUGCUGAUAUUACUUACAAUUUCCAUCAAAAGUGCACCCAUGUACUUGUUGAUGAGCUGACUCCUCUUAGAGAAGAGUUACUAGAUGUUAUUGUGGCAAAGAAAGCUUGUGUUCAGAUUAGCUGGGUUGAGAGAGUUGCAGAAGAAAAGAUUUGCAAUGAAAUCCCUAGCUGCAGCAACCAUACUCCAACUCUCUCAGCGGAAGGUGUAUCAGUCAAACUUGCAGACCAGGGAACUCGUGAAAACUGUAUGGAAGGAUACACGUUUGUGUUGGACUCGAUAAACAGUGAAUCAAAGCAUGAAGAGAACAGUUAUGUUGUUUGUGUCAUCCCUGGAGGGUCACCCUACAAAUUUGAUUGCUUCAAUAAACUCAAAGUAUCUAGUGUGAAGGAAAUAGACUUGAUGCGUGUCGUUUUAACUGGGACAUUGGAUCGAUCCAUUUUGAUAUCACCUUGUGGGAACCAGUCGGCUUACUCACUACCAUGUCUUGUUUGAUGAGAACAAUUUCCCUGGUGAUGCCUUGCAAGUUCUCACCAACAAUCUCUGCUACACGAUGGAAGGAGCAAUGUGCCAAGUACUCUACUUACUCCACAUACUUUGAGGGCAGACUCAGCUCUGCCAUGCCCAACUCUGUGUACAACCAAAGUAACAACUCAGAAAAUUGAAACCAUUCGGUAGUUGGACAAACUACAAAAUCUCUUGCAUCAAACGGAAAGGAAAAGGCAAAAGUCAGCCUUCUUUUUACAUGGGCGGAUCUUGCAGGCAAAGGACACCAAGUGAAUUAGAUAGAGAGGUUAAGAACUUGAGGGUGGCAUUUACUGACCUGUUUUUGAAGCAUAACACUUUCAAAGAAACUGCAAAGCCAUCGAGAUAUUGAUGCAAAGAAUGGAAGAAUGUAUUUCACUAAUUUUUGUAUAUAUUUCUUGUUUUGUAUUUAGUGAUAAAGGAAUUUGAAUUGGGCAUUUAUGUUGUAAUAUGAUUUCUUAAGCCUAGACUAGUAGACUAAAUAUUGUAAUUACAUUUGAGUAAUUAAUAAAAAUCUAUUUAUGUUACCUUA
This is a long non-coding RNA of Humulus lupulus (European hop), 4128 nucleotides long. RefSeq lists it as uncharacterized. The transcript is spliced from 11 exons. The record is from RefSeq and is a predicted model, not a curated record. Lineage: Eukaryota; Viridiplantae; Streptophyta; Magnoliopsida; Rosales; Cannabaceae.